UACGUAGGGGGCAAGCGUUGUCCGGAAUCAUUGGGCGUAAAGCGCGCGCAGGCGGUUCUUAAGUCUGAUGUGAAAGCCCACGGCUCAACGUGGAGGGUCAUUGGAAACUGGGGAACUUGAGUACAGAAGAGGAAAGCGGAAUUCCACGUGUAGCGGUGAAAUGCGUAGAGAUGUGGAGGAACACCAGUGGCGAAAGGCGGCUUUCUGGUCUGUAACUGACGCUGAGGCGCGAAAGCGUGGGGAGCAAACAGG
Molecule: ribosomal RNA, 252 nt
Filed under: uncultured bacterium
Lineage: Bacteria
Description: partial 16S ribosomal RNA
Rfam family: Bacterial small subunit ribosomal RNA
Source: RNAcentral